GGGCUAGUCAAGGUUUCGACAGGAGUCUUGCAGCUGGAGAAGCUAUCCGCAGGCGAUGCGUCAAAUCGCAAAAAUAAAUAUAAACGCUGAAGAUAAUUUAGCAUACGCUGCCUAAUGGCAGCUGUCCGCUCUAAGGCACUCACACUUUAGAAUCCGGGCAUCGACUAUGUGAGAAACGACACGGUCUAAGCUUUGCAGCCGUGGGCGUAUCAUGAAGCUACUGAGUACGGCAGGCUGUCAAUUUCCUGCUGUAUGAGGGAACGGGACAUUCGUCCGAGAUAAUUGACUAUGAUAGUAGAAGGACAGGGAAUGGGCUUUUGGACACGGGUUCGACUCCCGUCUGGUCCACUU
Clostridium sp. CAG:510 is the source of this 351-nucleotide non-coding RNA. It matches the Rfam family "transfer-messenger RNA". From Rfam's summary of the family: Bacterial tmRNA, also known as 10Sa RNA or SsrA, is named for its dual tRNA and mRNA-like properties. Its role is to liberate the mRNA from a stalled ribosome. The record is from Rfam. Lineage: Bacteria; Bacillati; Bacillota; Clostridia; Eubacteriales; Clostridiaceae.